RNAcentral lists this transfer RNA (69 nucleotides) under Rexea nakamurai (Nakamura's escolar). Its description in RNAcentral is "tRNA-Arg". It matches the Rfam family "tRNA". Rfam says of the family: Transfer RNA (tRNA) molecules are approximately 80 nucleotides in length. Their secondary structure includes four short double-helical elements and three loops (D, anti-codon, and T loops). The record is from RNAcentral. Lineage: Eukaryota; Metazoa; Chordata; Actinopteri; Scombriformes; Gempylidae.
AGACAGUUAGUCCAAGUAAGACGCUUGAUUUCGGCUCAAGAGGUGCUGGUUAAACCCCAUUACUGUCGU